UACUCAGCUAGGUAGGACUCGUGC
This 24-nucleotide non-coding RNA is filed under the name Arabidopsis thaliana (thale cress). Lineage: Eukaryota; Viridiplantae; Streptophyta; Magnoliopsida; Brassicales; Brassicaceae. The record is from RNAcentral.